GGCUGGUCUGAAGGUAGUGAGUUAUCUCAAUUGAUUGUCUACAGUCAGUUACAGAUCGAACUCCUCGUUCUACUCUUUCCCCCCUUCUCACUACUGCACUUGACUAGUCUUUA
This 113-nucleotide Y RNA is filed under the name Phocoena sinus (vaquita). Its description in RNAcentral is "Y RNA (ENSPSNG00000020670.1)". It matches the Rfam family "Y RNA". Rfam says of the family: Y RNAs are components of the Ro ribonucleoprotein particle (Ro RNP), in association with Ro60 and La proteins. RNAcentral also lists the same sequence under 1 other name. The record is from Rfam by way of RNAcentral. Lineage: Eukaryota; Metazoa; Chordata; Mammalia; Artiodactyla; Phocoenidae.